This is a long non-coding RNA of Dromaius novaehollandiae (emu), 3207 nucleotides long. RefSeq lists it as uncharacterized. Lineage: Eukaryota; Metazoa; Chordata; Aves; Casuariiformes; Dromaiidae. The record is from RefSeq and is a predicted model, not a curated record. The transcript is spliced from 2 exons.
GCCGCCGGGCGGCGGCCCCGGGGUGCUCCCUGGGCCGGCCCCCGGUGCGGCCCCUCCGGGGCUGGGCCUUUGGUGGUGGGGGAAGCCGCGGCUGCCCGACAGCCCAGGCUUCGUUUUCUUGCUCGCAAGCGGGGCGCAGCCGGGAGCGUGUCUUGCCCCCACCCGCUGGCAUGGGGCGGUGCAGGUGCUGAGUUUUGCCCGGCCUCGGGUGCCUUUAAGCACCGCCGCUUUUGAUGCACUUCUUCCCCUUCACGUGUGCAUCAGGUUGGUUUUCCUCUCCAAGUCUCUCAGGAUUUCAUGGUCCUUGGGCUGCUGUGGGGCAGGGGAAGCUCUUCUAGUGACAGCACGGUUGGCAUGCAGAAAGUGCCUUGGGAAGGUGCUUCAUGUUUUUGCUUUAAUACAGAUCUCUAAGAGCAGAACAAAAGCUUGGGUCUCACGCAGCGCAUGCUUGGUGGACUGUGCAGGAGAAUAAAGAGACGGUUGUGGCAUAUGCGGACAAUGGGGACUUUUUUGUUGAUAGAGCUCCAGUCUCGGAGUGUUUGCUGGCAUGGCUGGGCUUUUUGUUUUAUUUCCCUCCACCCUUGUGGCUCGUGUAGCCACUGUCAGCUGACAGAUCUCCUGGGGCAUAGAGCCCUAGGCUGUGCUCAGGUGCCAUGGUAUACCCAGCUCUGGAGCUGGAUCAAACCUCUGCAGGCCAAUGACAUAAAACCCUAUGACUGAAUCUUAGUAGUUAAGAACACUUCUGGGUUGGGGACAGAUCUUACAUAGAUUUGGUUAUUUGCUGCCUGCAUUGACCUAGGAUUCAUAUUUCUGAAGCCUGCCUUAUUCCUGGGCAGGCUGGGGGCUGUGUUGUGUCUCACUUGUGGACACGUCUGUGUGUUCAGCUGGUUUCUCGAGCUUCCAACUAGUCUCUGUGUGCCUCUCUGCUAAGACUUGGGUCUGAACUUUCCCCACCUCAGGCCCUUUGCUGGGAGACUCACUGGAGGCAGCCUUUCUUUUGCAAGCUUCAGCAACCUUGAUCCUAAAUACUUGGAUUCACCCCAGUGGCUCAGCAGAGCCAGAUCCAGUGGAAGCAAAAGAUGUUGUAUGUGAUGUGCUGACUCCUUAAGUCCUAGGUUAAGGUAUUAAAGCUGCUUGAAUGCUGGAGGGAAAUGGUUUUGUCCAUCACAGAUGAUAAAAUGCAGCCCGGUAUGCAGUUUUUGCCCAGAUAGCACGCAGCGUGCAUCUUCUGGGGAUCUGGAGCAAUGUUGGGCUAAGCUAAGAUCUAGAGACGCUACUUGGCAUACUGAGAGCUAGAGAAUGCCCUUGCCCUUCUCAGUGGAGCUGGGCUGCAUCCUGGGCUGGGGCCAUCAGGUGGAAGAGGAAUCUAAACUUUCUCUCUGUUCAGGAGCAGUCACUUCAGGGAUACCAAAGGGAAUGAGGAGAGUGGCACUGACUUCGUAGGAGAGGAGGUCAGUGGGAGAGAGCAGUUGUUCCUGGGAAGUGGAUCCACAUAGCCUCCAUAGCACACCUGGUAGCUGUCUAGCAUCUAGCUUGGAUCUGUUUUUUGCCCCCACCUCUGGGGCAGAGACUCCUUGCUGCUGCUUACUGGCCCUCAUGUGUUGUUGUCUCUCUCUGUCUUCCCCCUCCCUGAAAACAAACCCCACCAACGUAUUUUGCUCUGGUGUUAGAGUAGCCUAGCUUUGUCAGCCCUGUUUUGUGCUGUGCUGCUGACCUGGGAAGCUACCAUUUCUCAGCCUGAGCUACUAGGCUGGACAGUGCUUCGUAUGGUACCCCAAUGGGCUGUGUACAGUGCUCCAACACGCUGCACCCCUGGCAAACUACUGCUGCCUGGUUACUCUGUUUUAUUCCUCUGGCUUGCCCUGAAGCAGGGCUCCUGUUUGUCCUGUCUUGCAGCUUUUCUUGGGCUGGUCUUGCUUGAACCCCAGAAUGACAACUCUGAGAGGGCAACGUGGACAAAGCUAUUGAACUGGCUCUUUAUUAUUGCAAAAUGAUGUGUCAGGUAGAAAAGCUAAACUAGACUCGGUUCGUGCCUGCUGCCUGUGUAAUAACUGUUCACUUGUUGAACCUCUGCUAAUACGUCACCUUAAUAAAAUUGAACUUUAGCUCAAGAUAGCAAAUUCACCUUCUGACAAGAUUGUCAGCUUGUUCACGGAUAUUGCCAUCAGUGACUCUUCUGUUUGCGGGACCACUUAAGCAACCAAGGGGAGAGGCAUGCUUGUUUGCUGGAGCUGGGAGAAACCAAUACUUUCAUAACUUAAUAUUCCUACACAGGGAAUGUUGAGUCUGCUGAUUGGAGCCAGAUAGCCAAUGACCUGGCACCCUUACCAAAAGGAUAGUGAAUAUGUACUGAAGAGAAACCGCUGCCAGACCCGCCUCCCAUCUGCCAACAAGAGAGUCUUUGAAGAGAUAGUGCAUCAGUUGUUUUAAUGAAGACCGAGGAUACAGCCGGUAAGGAGCUUACGUGGUGAAGCUGCAAGAAUAGAAAGCUGAUGGAUCUGUUCUGCAAAAGGAGAAGGAACGUGCUGGCAACUACAAAAGCAAAGACCCUGGAAUGAGAGAUGUGUGUCAUGAGUACUUACUCAUGUGAAGGCAAUAAAUCCAAAACUUUGCAGCAAGCCAGGGUCAGACAUUUUGUGCAAAACUUCUCUAGCAUGUUCCUAGGGAUUUGGCAAGUUAAUGAACUGUGAUAAGAACUGCAGCCAGUCCUGCUGUCUUGUCUUAUUUCUCCCAGCUUCAGCCAUCUGCCCAUCCUUGCCCACACAAGUGUUUUUAUUGUGCGCUGUGUGAGAUUCUGUGCUGAAAGAAGGGGCAUUUCACCGUCCUUGUACAUUAUCAGUUACCUCUUGGGCAGUUUUAGAAUGACCACCUGAAAGUGUCCUAAUGGUUGAAGUUUCCUUCAAAUGUCUCCGUAAGUGGAUGGACAUGAUCACUGUGAUGAUAGCACAGUGAUGCUGGUCACAGCAUGCCAGCACCAAGGGUGAAUAGCCUUUGCUGCGUGUUUUCCCCCAGGGAGUCACUGUGGAAAAUACAAUACUGCUCUCCCCUUGUGAUUCACUGUCAGCUGAGCAAUGUCAGUAUAGUGCGUGAACUGAAUUGCUGCAUUGGGUGUUGCUGUGAAUUUAGAGUAGAAAAAGCACCAAAUGGGUGAAGCCCUCUUUGCAUUUCUGCUGUAUCUGCUGCCAAAUAAAAGAUGAGCUUAGAAUA